AGAAAGUAAGCAAGGGCAGACGGUGGAUGCCUUGGCUCUCGGAGGCGACGAAGGACGUGAUAAGCUGCGAAAAGCCCGGGGGAGGCGCAAAUAGCCCUUGAUCCCGGGAUAUCCGAAUGGGGCAACCCGGCAGGCUGAAGGCCUGUCAUCCCGUAAGGGAGGCGAACGUGGGGAACUGAAACAUCUAAGUACCCAUAGGAGGAGAAAAUAAACAAUGAUUCCGUAAGUAGUGGCGAGCGAACACGGAAGAGCCCAAACCCAUGUCGUCUAGGCGACACGGGGGUUGUAGGACCACGACGUGGCAAGAUAGAGUCAAGUGGAACGCCUUGGAAAAGGCGGUCAUAGAGGGUGAAAACCCCGUACACGACUGACGAUUGAAGCCUAGUGGCAUCCUGAGUAGCGCGGGGCACGAGAAAUCUUGCGUGAAACAGCGGGGCCCAUCCCGUAAGGCUAAAUACUCCCGAGAGACCGAUAGCGAACCAGUACCGUGAGGGAAAGGUGAAAAGAACCCCGAGCAGGGGAGUGAAAUAGACCCUGAACCCGUCUGCCUACAAGCGGUCGGAGCAUAGCAAUAUGUGACGGCGUGCCUUUUGCAUAAUGAACCUACGAGUUACCUUCCCCGGCAAGGUUAAGUACCUAAGGUACGGAGCCGAAGCGAAAGCGAGUCUGAAGAGGGCGGCCAGUCGGGGGGGGUAGACGCGAAACCGAGUGAUCUACCCUUGGCCAGGUUGAAGGUUGGGUAACACCAACUGGAGGACCGGAUGGGUAAGCGUUGAAAAGCUUUCCAAUGAGCUGAGGGUAGGGGUGAAAGGCUAAUCAAACUCGGAGAUAGCUCGUACUCCCCGAAAUGCAUUUAGGUGCAGCCUCUUUAUAGUAUAUCGUGAGGUAGAGCGACUGAUUGGAUGCGAGGGCUUCACCGCCUAUCAAGUCCAGAUAAACUCCGAAUGCGCGAUAUAUAUUUACAGGGAGUGAGGGCGCGGGUGCUAAGGUCCGUGUCCGAGAGGAGAAGAAUCCAGACCACCGGCUAAGGCCCCCAAAUGAUCGUUGAGUUGAACUAACGAGGUCGGAUCGCAGAGACAGCUAGGAUGUUGGCUUGGAAGCAGCCAUUCAUUUAAAGAGUGCGUAACAGCUCACUAGUCGAGCGAUCUGGCGUGGAUAAUAAUCGGGCAUAAACGAUCUGCCGAAGCCGUGGAUGUCGUAAGACAUGGUAGGGGAGCAUUCCAUGCGGCGUCGAAGAUGAGGGAUGACCCUUGUUGGAGCGCAUGGAAAAGCAAAUGUAGGUAUGAGUAACGAUAAGGGGGGCGAGAAACCCCCCCGCCGAAAGACCAAGGUUUCCUGAUCAACGCUAAUCGGAUCAGGGUGAGUCGGGACCUAAGGCAAAGCCGAACGGCGCCGCCGAUGGAAGAAUGGGUUAAUAUUCCCAUACUGCCUCAUGGAGUGACGUGGAGACGGAGAAGUGACAGUCCUGCCGGCUGACGGAAUAGCCGGUUGAAGGGUGUAGAUAUUGAUUCCCGUAGGCAAAUCCGCAGGGAGAGUCGAACCUGACAGUAUACCGAGUACUUGUACGAGGUAAUAUGGACGUAACCAUGCUCCCAAGAAAAUCCGCUAAACUUAUCCAUGCGGCACCCGUACCGUAAACGGACACACGUGGUCGGGUUGAGAAUACUGAGGCGCUCGAGUGACUCACGGUUAAGGAACUAGGCAAAUUGACCCUGUAACUUCGGGAUAAAGGGUCCUCGUCGUAAGGCGAGGCGCAGAGAAUAGGUCCAGGCAACUGUUUAACAAAAACACAUGGCUAUGCUAAAUGGAAACAUGACGUAUAUAGCCUGACACCUGCCCGGUGCUGGAAGGUUAAGAGGAGAUGUCAUCGCAAGAGAAGCGUUGAAUUGAAGCCCCAGUAAACGGCGGCCGUAACUAUAACGGUCCUAAGGUAGCGAAAUUCCUUGUCGGGUAAGUUCCGACCUGCACGAAUGGUGUAAUGAUCUGGACACUGUCUCAACCGUGAGCUCGGUGAAAUUGUAGUAUCGGUGAAGAUGCCGAUUACCCGCGAUGGGACGAAAAGACCCCGUGAACCUUUACUAUAGCUUUACAUUGAAUUUGGGCAGACGAUGUGUAGGAUAGGCCGGAGGCUUUGAAGGGGGUACGCCAGUAUCCUUGGAGCCGCCGUUGAAAUACGGCCCUUCGGUUGUUUGAGUUCUAACUCCUAGGCAGGAGGACACUGUAUGGUGGGUAGUUUGACUGGGGUGGUCGCCUCCAAAAGCGUAACGGAGGCUUCUAAAGGUGCCCUCAGACCGAUUGGUAACCGGUCGCAGAGUGUAAUGGCAUAAGGGCGCUUGACUGGGAGAGAUACAACUCGAUCAGGUAGGAAACUAGAGCAUAGUGAUCCGGUGGUUCCGCAUGGAAGGGCCAUCGCUCAAAGGAUAAAAGGUACUCCGGGGAUAACAGGCUGAUCAUUCCCAAGAGCUCAUAUCGACGGAAUGGUUUGGCACCUCGAUGUCGGCUCGUCACAUCCUGGGGCUGGAGAAGGUCCCAAGGGUUGGGCUGUUCGCCCAUUAAAGUGGCACGCGAGCUGGGUUCAGAACGUCGUGAGACAGUUCGGUCUCUAUCUAUCGUGGGCGCAGGAGAUUUGAGGGGCUCUGACACUAGUACGAGAGGACCGUGUUGGACGUACCACUGGUUUACCGGUUGUCCCGCCAGGGGCACCGCCGGGUAUCUAAGUACGGAUCGGAUAAGUGCUGAAAGCAUCUAAGUACGAAGCCGGCCUCAAGAUUAGAUCUCCCUCAAGGGUGGUUAUAGACGAUGACCUUGAUAGGCCACAGGUGUAAGGGCGGCGACGUCCGAGCCGAGUGGUACUAAUAGCCCGGGACUUUCCUCA
This 2875-nucleotide ribosomal RNA is filed under the name Parabacteroides distasonis. RNAcentral's name for it is "23S ribosomal RNA". It matches the Rfam family "Bacterial large subunit ribosomal RNA". The record is from RNAcentral. Lineage: Bacteria; Pseudomonadati; Bacteroidota; Bacteroidia; Bacteroidales; Tannerellaceae.